Molecule: small nuclear RNA, 107 nt
Organism: Vulpes vulpes (red fox)
Lineage: Eukaryota; Metazoa; Chordata; Mammalia; Carnivora; Canidae
Source: Ensembl
AUGCUUGCUUCAGCAGCACAUGUACCAAUAUUGGAAUGAUACAGAGAAGAUUAGCAUAGCCCUUGUGCAAGGAUGACACAUAAAUUCGUGAAGUGUUUCUUAUUUGG